This 527-nucleotide ribosomal RNA is filed under the name Setocoris sp. WCW-2003. RNAcentral describes it as "partial 16S ribosomal RNA". It matches the Rfam family "Bacterial large subunit ribosomal RNA", at positions 1811 to 2610 of the family's 2925-position model. Lineage: Eukaryota; Metazoa; Arthropoda; Insecta; Hemiptera; Miridae. The record is from RNAcentral.
AAACAUGGUCUUUUGUUGUAUUAUAUAAGAUCAGGCCUGCCCAAUGAUUUUUGUUUAAUGGCUGCGGUAUUUUGACCGUACAAAGGUAGCAUAAUCAAUUGCUUCUUAAUUAGGGGCUGGUAUGAAUGGUUUGAUGAGAGAAAUGCUUUCUUUUUUAUAUAUUAAGAAUUUGAUUUUUAGGUAAAAAAGCCUAAGUUCUGUUGAAGGACGAGAAGACCCUAUAGAACUUUAUUAUUUAUAGAUAAUAUUUUUACUAGAUUUUUAUAUAGGUAUAUUUUGUCAAUAAUUUUGUUGGGGUGACAGGAAAAAAUUAAAAACUUUUUUGUUUUAUAGUCAUUUAUAUAUGUUAAUGAUCCUUUAUUAAGGAUUAUCAGAUUAAGUUACCUUAGGGAUAACAGCGUUAUUACUUUGUAGAGUACACAUCGAUAAAGUAGUUUGCGACCUCGAUGUUGGAUUAAAAUUAAUAGUAGGGGUAGUUUUUUACUAAUUAGGUCUGUUCGACCUUUAAAUUUUUACAUGAUCUGAGU